RNAcentral lists this ribosomal RNA (497 nucleotides) under uncultured bacterium. Its description in RNAcentral is "partial 16S ribosomal RNA". It matches the Rfam family "Bacterial small subunit ribosomal RNA", at positions 28 to 507 of the family's 1533-position model. The record is from RNAcentral.
GAUGAACGCUGGCGGCGUGCCUAAUACAUGCAAGUCGAGCGAACAGACGAGGAGCUUGCUCCUCUGACGUUAGCGGCGGACGGGUGAGUAACACGUGGGUAACCUACCUAUAAGACUGGGAUAACUUCGGGAAACCGGAGCUAAUACCGGAUAAUAUAUUGGACCGCAUGGUUCAAUAGUGAAAGACGGUUUUGCUGUCACUUAUAGAUGGAUCCGCGCCGCAUUAGCUAGUUGGUAAGGUAACGGCUUACCAAGGCGACGAUGCGUAGCCGACCUGAGAGGGUGAUCGGCCACACUGGAACUGAGACACGGUCCAGACUCCUACGGGAGGCAGCAGUAGGGAAUCUUCCGCAAUGGGCGAAAGCCUGACGGAGCAACGCCGCGUGAGUGAUGAAGGUCUUCGGAUCGUAAAACUCUGUUAUUAGGGAAGAACAAAUGUGUAAGUAACUAUGCACGUCUUGACGGUACCUAAUCAGAAAGCCACGGCUAACUACGUG